RNAcentral lists this ribosomal RNA (469 nucleotides) under Veillonella parvula. RNAcentral's name for it is "bacterial SSU rRNA". It matches the Rfam family "Bacterial small subunit ribosomal RNA", at positions 28 to 474 of the family's 1533-position model. Lineage: Bacteria; Bacillati; Bacillota; Negativicutes; Veillonellales; Veillonellaceae. The record is from RNAcentral.
GACGAACGCUGGCGGCGUGCUUAACACAUGCAAGUCGAACGAAGAGCGACGGAAGCUUGCUUCUAUCAAUCUUAGUGGCGAACGGGUGAGUAACGCGUAAUCAACCUGCCCUUCAGAGGGGGACAACAGUUGGAAACGACUGCUAAUACCGCAUACGAUCUAAUCUCGGCAUCGAGGAUAGAUGAAAGGUGGCCUCUACAUGUAAGCUAUCACUGAAGGAGGGGAUUGCGUCUGAUUAGCUAGUUGGAGGGGUAACGGCCCACCAAGGCGAUGAUCAGUAGCCGGUCUGAGAGGAUGAACGGCCACAUUGGGACUAAGACACGGCCCAGACUCCUACGGGAGGCAGCAGUGGGGAAUCUUCCGCAAUGGACGAAAGUCUGACGGAGCAACGCCGCGUGAGUGAUGACGGCCUUCGGGUUGUAAAGCUCUGUUAAUCGGGACGAAAGGCCUUCUUGCGAACAGUUAGAAG